RNAcentral lists this ribosomal RNA (430 nucleotides) under uncultured bacterium. RNAcentral describes it as "bacterial SSU rRNA". It matches the Rfam family "Bacterial small subunit ribosomal RNA", at positions 354 to 776 of the family's 1533-position model. The record is from RNAcentral.
GUGAGGAAUAUUGCGCAAUGGGCGAAAGCCUGACGCAGCAACGCCGCGUGGAGGACGAAGGCCCUCGGGUCGUAAACUCCUGUCGGGAGGGACGAAAAGGCUUCGGAUAAUACCCGGAGUCUCUGACGGUACCUUCAGAGGAAGCCCCGGCUAACUCCGUGCCAGCAGCCGCGGUAAUACGGGGGGGGCAAGCGUUAUUCGGAAUUAUUGGGCGUAAAGCGCGCGCAGGCGGCUUGGCAAGUCAUAGGUGAAAUCCCUCGGCUCAACCGAGGAACUGCCUAUGAAACUGCCUGGCUCGAGGUCGGGAGGGGGUGGCGGAAUUCCCAGUGUAGCGGUGAAAUGCGUAGAUACUGGGAAGAACACCGGUGGCGAAGGCGGCCACCUGGACCGAUUCUGACGCUGAGGUGCGAAAGCGUGGGGAGCAAACAGG